Molecule: long non-coding RNA, 1710 nt
Filed under: Podarcis lilfordi (Lilford's wall lizard)
Lineage: Eukaryota; Metazoa; Chordata; Lepidosauria; Squamata; Lacertidae
Source: RNAcentral
AUAUCAUUUCAAAGCAGUGCCACCCACCCUAACUUGGACAUCCAAUUCAGAAGGAUAACAUGGUUGAUGGUAUUGAAAGCCUCUGAGAGAUAAAAGAGGAAGAACAGAAAGUCAGUUUCUUCCAAGAGCACCUGGAUCUGGUCCACAACCUAAUGAAGAACCUUGCCUAAGAAGGGGAGAUUGGCAACUUGCUGAUAAUUACUUAGAUUUUCUGAAUUCGGGGAGGGUUUUUUAAGGAAUGCCCUUGCCACUUCAAGAAGGCAUUAAUCACCUCCCUGACCCAGCCAGCUUUCUCUUCCCUGCUAGCUUUUAUCAGCCCAGAGAGGCAAGGGUCUAGAGUGCAAGUGGUCACCCUGACAGAUCCAUGCACCUUGUACGCAUCCUCAAGCCUUACGAACUGAAACUCAUCCAACAUAACAGGACUAGAGAUUGCUCUGGACACCCCUUGAGAUCCAACUGCUGUAACAGUGGAGUCAAGGUUCCAGCAGAUUCAAGCGAUUUUUAUCCUCAAAAUACUUCACAAACAAAUCGCAGCGAGCUAGUGUCAGUUCUGCUAGCUCCUUUGUGCUAGACUGUAAAAGGCCCCAUACUACCUGGAAAAGCUUUGUCAGACGGCAUGAUGAAGAUUCAAUGGAGUCAGCAAAGUAUCAGUCGGCUAAAUGAUGAGCCUUCACCAGUGUUCAAUUGCAUUCAAGCCGUCUUCCCACUUGUCUCAGUGCUCCAAGCUCUGGAGAAUACUAGGGAGUCAAGUGGACUCCACAAAUUAAUAUAUUUGAUGUAGUAGCUAUUAUCUGACUGGCUUUCAACCAUGCCUAUAUCCCACAGUUACCAGGGUUGUUGAUAAGGGUGCAAAGAGUAUGAGUGAGAUUUAAUGGUUGUGUGGAUUUAGGAAAAUCAUUGUAGUAGAAUUUGUGUUGUAUUAAUAAAGUAAGUAAGGAAAUUACCCCAUUUUCCUUGCCACAAAGUGUGUUGACAAAAGAAGUGAAAUGAACUGAAAUAAGGGGUGAAUACCAGGCUACUACAUGAUUGCUUAGCCAUGUAUAUUGGCUACACACUCAUUAAAACCUCCCCUCACACUCUGCUUAUAUAUCUCUUAUCCAAAGGAAAUAAAAAUACCAUUGAAUUUCUUAACACUUGGGGAAUUGGAAUGUGCUGUUAAUUAUUUUAUAAUUUCUAUAUAGUGUUUAGAGUGCAUGCAUAAUCAAUUUGCAUAUAUUAUGUCAUAGUUUCACUUAUGAUUUACUGGGGUUCUUUCUGUCCUUUGCUUCAAUCAAUAAGACUCUGAAUUCCUUGAACCAGUGUGUUCUCAACCAAGUUCAGUUGCUUUCAGUUUAUUAUCGGUAACAGGAACUUAAACAAGAAAACUUAUUGAAGAUGUACAAUAUGAGCAGCACAGAUUCUAGUAGCCCAGAGAUGAAAAGAAGAUAAAGUCCCUACCAGAGAAGAAUGGCAAAUCAAAUUGUUGGACUAUGUCGAAAUAGCAAAAUUGACCCAAAAGCUCAGGAACCAAGAAGACCAAAACUUUGACAAGGAAUGGGAAAAGUUUAUAAUUUAUCUUGGAGACCACUGUAAACAGAUGUAAACAUUAGCAGGAUUGCAAUAGCACUUGUAAUGUCUUGGGUAUUAUGGAGAGAAUGACAUUUUAUUUUGGUUUUUUUUAAAUGGAGUAUAAAAAAAGAGGCAGUAGAAAAAAUUUAAUAACAACCCAGA